AGCUCCAAUAGCGUAUAUUAAAGUUGUUGCAGUUAAAAAGCUCGUAGUUGGAACGAUACGUCUGCAAAGCAGUCUCUUCAAGAGCGCUCGCAGACGCGGGCUUUUGUAAAGCCUCUGUUACUUUGAGAAAAUUUGAGUGUUUCAGGCGGGCCAGAGCUGAAAUAGUGUACCAUGGAAUAACGAAGUGGCUUUCUCUUCUUUCUUUGUUUUUAGAAGAGAUUGCACGUGGUUGAUAGGAACAGUCGGGGGCAUUCGUAUUGAACAGUCAGAGGUGAAAUUCUUAGAUUUGUUCAAGACGAACUAAUGCGAAAGCAUCUGCCAAGGAUGUUUUCA
Molecule: ribosomal RNA, 333 nt
Filed under: uncultured eukaryote
Lineage: Eukaryota
Description: SSU rRNA
Rfam family: Eukaryotic small subunit ribosomal RNA
Source: RNAcentral